This 253-nucleotide ribosomal RNA is filed under the name uncultured bacterium. Its description in RNAcentral is "partial 16S ribosomal RNA". It matches the Rfam family "Bacterial small subunit ribosomal RNA", at positions 524 to 776 of the family's 1533-position model. The record is from RNAcentral.
UACGGAGGAGGCAAGCGUUAUCCGGAAUCACUGGGCGUAAAGCGUCUGUAGGCGGCUUGGCAAGUCUGAUGUGAAAGCCCGAGGCUCAACCUCGGAACUGCACUCGAAACUGCCUGGCUCGAGUCCCGGAGAGGGUGGCGGAAUUCCCGGUGUAGGGGUGAAAUCCGUAGAUAUCGGGAGGAACACCAGUGGCGAAGGCGGCCACCUGGACGGUGACUGACGCUGAGAUGCGAAAGCGUGGGGAGCAAACAGG